This 242-nucleotide long non-coding RNA is filed under the name Ananas comosus (pineapple). RNAcentral's name for it is "long non-coding RNA (ACOM_LNC010463)". The record is from RNAcentral. Lineage: Eukaryota; Viridiplantae; Streptophyta; Magnoliopsida; Poales; Bromeliaceae.
UAUUUAUAAGAUAGUAACAUUUUCAAUCAUUGUCAUUGUGUCUAUACUAGUAUUAAACCCGCGCUUCGCUGCGCAUAAAUAAAAUUUUAAUUAAUUAAUAUAUAAUUACUUAAAAUUUAAAAUUUAAAAUAUAAAAUUUAUUUUAAAAAAUUAAAAAUAUAAUACAUUCGAAAAAAUCGUUAACUUCUCCAUAUCAAAAUAGUUGCCGACUCAAAACCCAAAACCCAAAACAUUACUCUUUU